AUUCAGAUUCAGAUUUUAUUUCCACUUAGAGGUUGCAGUGGGGCUUCCUGGCAGUGCUGCUAACACCGAGUCCCGCCACAAAGCGACAUCGAGAGGAAGGUCUGGCACCCGGUGGCCGCCAUGGAGUCUGGCCUCGAGCAACUCCCAGUUUUUGCUCCCCCAGGCCACGCUGCAUCGGGCGGUACUGCCAUCAUUCCUCGUUAAUGCCUCACCAAGUCACGCUAAAUCAACACGGACAAGGCCUCGUGGGUGUUCCGUAGGCUACAGCCCCUCCUGCCUCCACCACCACGCCCGACUUCUCCCACCGCUUGCUCCACACUCGCCGACCCCACCACAUCCUCGCCUCCACCAUCCAGGUGACCUGGAACAGACGGACAGCGGACAGAAAAGCGUGGAUGCUUUUGUCCUGCAGUGGAAUCCUACACGCAGCCGAUAAUGACACACAAAGAGGAUACAACUGUUUUUUUCUUCACUCUCCAACGUUUAAAGGAAUUUCCAUCUCCUCCCUUUCACCUCCCACUCCUCCAGCCGUCGCAUCCCUCCCUCCCUCAUCCUGCUCCUCCCACUCGCUCCAGCCACUCCCUCAACACCCCCCGAGGCUUCCCAUUAAUCUUGCCGCCGUCUCGCCCCAUAAUGAACACCUCAGCUUUACCUGCUCUAUUAACACCUGACGUAAGUACAGUGAUCCGCGCGGCUGUGGGUGGCGGGUCAUAUACAUCGACGAAUUAACGGCGUCACCUGCCCGCCCUGCUCACCCUGGCCCAGAAGUUUUGUGAUUUAAUAAAAGAAGGUAUUAUUACUUCACAAUAUAUCCCGCGUUUCCUUACUCUGUUUAGAAUUCGGCUACUUUUAUUUACAUAUAUAUUAUGCAAGUGGAUAUUUCUUAACAUUUCCUUUUUUCCUUUCUGGGGAUGAGCGAAUGAAAGGAAUGUAACAAUAAAGAUGAAUUAACGUUACUGUGGUGAAGGGAAAAAAAGGAGUUUAAUGUAGGAGAGCGUGAUGGUAAUACUUUAGAGGAUAAUGAGGUGGUAGUGGCAAUGGUAUAGUAGUAGUGAUGUAGUGGCAGUGAUAGUGUUGCUAGUUUUGUUGUUCUUCUUGUUGUUAUAAUUCUUACAUGCAAUUUUUAAGGUUCUAUUAUUGCUGAAAGUGGCCAUAAAUAACUUGCUCUUGUUGUUAAAUGUGCUGCUCAUAUGUUCGAAUAUGUACGUUAAUAUCGCCGCUGGUUGUGUUGGUGGUAGUUGCUUCUGUUGCUGACAGUGAAGGUGGUUAAUGAUGUUAGUGUUGUUACUGUUGUUGUCCUUCAUCUUCGUGUUUGAGUUAUAGUUUUGUUGUUGUUGUUGUUGUUGUUGUUGUUGUUGUUGUUCUUGUUGUUCAUCUUCUUUAGGUCUGAAUUAUAGUUUUGUUGUUGUUGUUGUUGUUGUUGUAGUUUUUAUAGUUCUUUAAUGGUUUGUUUUUGAUGAUAGGAGUUAUAAAUAAUCAAGUUACUCUCGCUGUUACAUGUGCCGUUCUUACGUUUGAAUACGUUACUAUCGCUGCUGGUUGUGGUGGUAACAGCUAUUUCGUUGUUGGCGGUGGUGGUGGCGUGACCAAGACUCGGUGUGGGGGUCAGCGUUUUACGGAUAAAGCUUUCUGUAAGUCAACGAAAUUUAAUCUUACAUCAUUUUAUGCGUGCGAGUGUGCGUGUGCGUCUGAUCUUUUAUACACAAAGGGGGUGGUAGCAAUGGUGGUGGUAGUGGAGGUGGAGGAGGUGGUGGUGGUGGAAGUGUUGAUGGCGGUUGUAGUGUCGUCGAUAGUGAUGAUGGUGUUAUUAGAGGUAAUGGUGCUUGUGGUAGUGAUUAUGAUGGAAGUAGCGGUGGUGCUGGUGCUGGUGGUAAUAAUGGCAGUGGUGGUGAGGGUGGCGUCGUUAGUGGUGUUGGUAAUGAUAGUAGUGGUAGUGGCACUGAUAAUGUCAGUGGCAGUGAUAAUGGCAGUGGUGGUGAUAGUGGCAGUGGUGGUGACAGUGGCAGUGGUGGUGAUAGUGGCAGUGGUGGUGAUAGUGGCAGUGGUGGUGAUAAUGGAAGUAGUGGUGGUGGUGGUGGGGGUGGUGGUGGUAGUGGUGGCGUGCUGCGGUAUUCGUGCAGCCACUCACAGGUGUCAGCGAGAAGGAGAAGGAGGCGUUAUUUUGUCAUUAGGAAUAAUUUUUGUGUUGUUUGUAAGCACAGUUCUCGA
Scylla paramamosain (green mud crab) is the source of this 2208-nucleotide long non-coding RNA. RefSeq lists it as uncharacterized. The record is from RefSeq and is a predicted model, not a curated record. NCBI's taxonomy places the organism in Eukaryota, Metazoa, Arthropoda, Malacostraca, Decapoda, Portunidae. The transcript has 3 exons.